This 2583-nucleotide unclassified non-coding RNA is filed under the name Hevea brasiliensis (rubber tree). Lineage: Eukaryota; Viridiplantae; Streptophyta; Magnoliopsida; Malpighiales; Euphorbiaceae. The record is from RNAcentral.
UACAGUUUUCUCCCAUCCUAGGUUAAAAAAGACAUUCAAUAAACUGGCUUCCAGGAGAAUGUUUGACAGAAUUCACAAUUUUUUUUGUUUCUCAGCCUUCCUGUUAAUCUCCUGAUACCAAUGAUGUAAGAGACAAUUUAAGAAAUCUUCACAGACCAAUUUUGUAAUUCCUUGAGAAUUGAGACCAUGAGCUUUAUCUCUGCUUUUAUUCACUUAUUUUCAUCCAACAACUUACCAAGGAUCAACAUCAUUUUCUAGAGAGUAGGGGAGAAUUCUUCAAACCAAAUUCUACUUAUAUUCACCAGUAAUCCAUACAUGAGCACUUUCCCCCACUAAAAUGGUGGAAUCUAUACCGAUCUUUUAAUAUUAUAUCUCUGUUGUAAAGCAUAGAUAUGAGCUUAGCCACUGAGUGACAGUCCCCACAAACACGAAGAUUUUUCACAAUCCUGAUUGGUUGUGAUGGACCCAAUCUGAUAAGCCCAAAGGCGAUCGCUAACUUUUCACUGUGAAGGUUAAGGGCCUUCUCCUUCAUGUCGUCUUCUUCAACAAAUUGCAGAACGUGGGAUGCAUUUGGCACAUAACCAGCAGAUUUCAGCCCAUCUACUAUCUCAUCAAGCUUUGAGUAGAUUUCAUUGGAUAUCGGAUGAGAGUUGUCUCCCACAAGAAACUCGUGAAUGAUACCAUCAACCUCAAUUGAGCUACAACCUGGUUCUUUCUUGAUUCCAAAAACUUUCAUACGCUGCCUUAAUCCAGACACGCCGUCCCAUUUCCCUGUUUUGGCGUAUAUAUUGGAUAAAAGCACAUAGGCUCCAUGAUUACUAGGGUCUAUCUCAAGCAAAUUGCCACAUGCAAUUUCAGCAAGCUCAACAUUCCCAUGGAUUCUACAGGCGCCAAGUAGUGCUCCCCACACAGAAGCACUCGGAACUAUUGGCAUUUUCCCUAUCAAUUCAAAAGCUUCUUCCAGAUGGCCUGCACGACCAAGAAUAUCAACCAUGCAAGUAUAGUGCUUGAUUCCAGGCACAACACCGUAAACUGAUUCCAUCUGAUUAAAAAACAUCCUUCCCUCUUCCACUAGUCCUGUAUGGCUACAAGCGCUUAAUAAGUUGGUAAAUGUCACAGAAUUGGGCAUCACCUUAGCUUCUUGCAUUUUGACAAACAAAUCUAUAGCAGCUCUGCCACGACCAUGCAUUGCCAAACCAGCAAUCAUGGCACUCCAAACAAACACAUCCCUCAUCUCAGCUGAAUAAAAAAUGUCAAGCGCCUUCUCUAGAUCACCGCAUUUAGAAUACAUGUCAAUAAGCGAUGUUGUGAGAUGACAGUUUAACUUAAUCCCUUGCUUCUUUAUGUACACAUGGAUCCAUCCACCUAUAUCUAUUGCUCCCAACUGAGAGCAAGCUGAAAGAGUGCUUAAAAGCGUAACUUCAUCUGGUUUUGCAGUCUUACUACGCUGCAAUUCGUGGAAAAUGGACAAAGCCUCCUUUGGCUUCCCAUUCUGUUCAUAAGCUGAAAUUAGCACAUUCCACGCAGCUAUUUCUGGUCUAGGCAUGGCAUAAAAUAUACUCCUAGCUGCAUCGAAGUCCCUCCCUUUUGCAUACCCAUCAAUCAUAGUUGUCCAUGAAACAACAUCUUUCUCCUCCAUCUUAUCAAACAAUCUUCUUGCAUCUUCAAUACUUCCAUUUUUCACAUACAUAUCAAGCAUCGCAUUACUAAGAGUCAAAUUCAGAUGAAUCCCAUUCCUCUCAAUAUACUGGCAAACCCAUCUCCCAAAUUCCAAAUCCAACUUCUUUGAGCAGGCAGACAAAACACCCACCAUUGUCACAUAGUUAGGACUGACAUCCUCCACCUCCAUUCUUUGAAAUAAUUCCAGUGCCUUCUCAGGACAGCCUCCCUGUGCAAACCCCGUAAUCAUUGAAUUCCAAGAAACAACAUCCUUCUCGUCAAUUUUCAAGAAGACUAAAUAAGCCGAAUCCAUAUCCCCACACGAGGCAUAACAAUGUAUAAGAGAGUUCGAAACAAACAAAUCCGAACUCAACGAGGCCUUAAUGACCAUCCCGUGAAUAGCUUGAGCUACAGGCAAACUAGAAAUCCCCGCAGCAGCUUUGAUAACAAAUGGAAAAGUGAACUUGUUAGGAAAAUCUAGACUCUCAUAAAGCAUUCGGAUAAAUAUCAAAAGGCUGUGAAUGGGUUCUGGGCUUGAAGCGAAAGCACGAAUGAAGGUGUUCCAAGUGUAGAGAUUUGGCUGGGGAAUAUGGUCGAACACCUUGCGAGCAUAGUCGAGGCUGGAGAAGGAUGAGAAAGCAGCCACAGCGAAAAGUUUGCUGGCUGAGUAAGGGUGAAAAAAGAGGCCCGAACGGAGCAUUUGAGCAUGGAGCUGUUUGAGAUGCUUUAAGUUGGUGCAUUGGUCGAUGAGAGAGAGGGUUUGUGGGUGGCUCGUGGAGGGACGGUCGUUUUUGACAGUUAGAAUGGGCGGGUUUGGGCUAUGGGGAAGAGAGAGAAGCGAACUGUUUAGAGUUGCCAUUUUCCCCUUUGUUUAGGCCGUUGCCUCAUUUGCCGAUGCGGUUUCUUAUUGAAGCCAAAAGUAAA